AAAUUAAUCAACAGGUAUUUCAAUGCUACUAUGAAAGUCUACGGAGCUGAUGGAGGGCUUGGCAAGGCUUGGGGAUGCGUGCGAGUUAGAAAUGAGCCGAGAAAGACAUGAGGAAGGGCUAAAGAAGGAGGUGAACUCUAUUGGUAGGUUGGUGGGGAGCUUGGCAAGGCUUGGGGAGGGUUGCAAACUAAUGGAGAGCUGAUGAGGCCCGGGAGAGGAAUGGGAAAAAAGGUCCAGGAAGAGGAUGAAGCUAAAGUGUUGUAGAAGACGUGAGGAAGGGGUAAAGAAGAACUAAGAGAAGGUGGAGAACUCUAGUAGCUUGCUGAAGAGGAUUGGGGAGAGUUGCAAGCUAAUGGAGAGCUGAUGAGACCAUGGAAAGGAGUCGGAAAAGGUUCAGGAAGA
Long non-coding RNA from Eriocheir sinensis (Chinese mitten crab), 402 nucleotides. RefSeq lists it as uncharacterized. Lineage: Eukaryota; Metazoa; Arthropoda; Malacostraca; Decapoda; Varunidae. The transcript is spliced from 2 exons. The record is from RefSeq and is a predicted model, not a curated record.